Molecule: ribosomal RNA, 400 nt
Filed under: uncultured bacterium
Lineage: Bacteria
Description: bacterial SSU rRNA
Rfam family: Bacterial small subunit ribosomal RNA
Source: RNAcentral
AGCGAACGUUAGCGGCGCGCCUAACACAUGCAAGUCGCACGAGAAAGGGAGCAAUCCCCGGUACAGUGGCGCACGGGUGAGUAACACGUAGAUGACCUUCCCUGGAGUGGUGGAUAACCUGCCGAAAGGCGGGCUAAUACAGCAUGGGACCACAUGGUUUUGACCGAGUGGUGAAAGCGGGCCUCUGUUCACAAGCUCGCGCUCUGGGAUGGGUCUGCGUCCCAUCAGCUAGUUGGUGAGGUAAUGGCUCACCAAGGCAUCGACGGGUAGCUGGUCUGAGAGGAUGACCAGCCACACUGGAACUGAGACACGGUCCAGACUCCUACGGGAGGCAGCAGUGGGGAAUUUUGGACAAUGGGCGCAAGCCUGAUCCAGCAAUGCCGCGUGCAGGAUGAAGGCC